GGUGCUGCGAGUGGCCGGGGCGCUCCCCGAGGGCGGCGGGAAGGGCGGCGCGGUGCUCCCGGAGCCGCUUCGCUUCGGCCGUGAGGCGCGGAGCGGUGUUCGCAGGCAUUCGUCCUCAUCGAUUCCGCAGCGCUGCUGUCUGAAAUCGACACUGUGCAACUGCUCUGCGAGCGAACGCACCGCGCGGGUUUACUGUCAGGAAAACGAUCGGACCGUGCGAACCACGACUCCCGUUCGUUGCACCGCCGGUUCUCUCGAGGGCACAAGUUACUCCGCCGGGGAAGAGGAACGGAGAAUGGGAAGUGUUAAUUUUGAGCGGUUUCAGCACGCACAGCGAGCAGGAUCACAGCCCAGAAUGCUCUGCGCCGCCUUCUGCUUUCUCGAACGUUUCCACUCGUGGGCACGAAGCACGGGACGGCCUCGGGGCGCCGUCCGCAGAGGGCUCUCAAAUGCAAAGCACAGAAUCGCAGCACGCGCGCUCCCGGGGAACGCCGCGGCCGGGUCUGUGCGGGCGGGGCCAUUGGCGGCGGCGGAGGAGCGGAGCGGAGCGGGGCCGGGCACGGGGCGGUCCCUUCCCACCCUGACGAUCCUGAUUCAGUCAGCACGCGGUGCGGGAAGUGCUUUCUCUUCGCAAUUUGUGACUUUUUGUUGUAUUCUAUACCGAUAGUUGCAGUGUUUCUAACCUUAACAGACCCCCACAUCUAAAAAGUCCUAAAAACACCGCCGGAGCUCCUCGGAACCGUUGUCCUCAGCUUCCCCGCCGCGCCGAGGGGAUGGGGCAUCGCCGUACGACCCCAGGGCGCUCAGCCGGGCCGCCGGCGACGCGGUCCCCAAAGAAGCCUCUCCCAGGCCGGGCCCUGAGCCGAAGCGCCCCGCGGGGGACACGUGCAGCAGCGCGGAGCCACGUUGCCGGGGUUGGCGCGGCGCGUGCCCGGCAGAGCCCCCGUGCGCGUCGCCGCCGUCCGCAGGCGGAGAUGCGCGCUCGCGCGGACGCCUUCCCCUCCUCGUCCCGCCGCGCGCGGCCCCGCGCAACGAGGCUCCUUCCACGCCGCCCCGUAGGGCCCCGCAGCGCGCGGCUCAAGGCUGAAUGCGGAGGGCAAAGCGCGUUCAAUUCCGUUUCAUCGCCUCUGCGGUUGCCGCAGCCUCGCGCCGCCUUUCUGGGUCAGUCGAGUUUUACGUGCGACAACCGGCGUGACCGGCAGGGGGCAGCGCGGCCGGUGCUGGGACCGCCCCGAGCUGGGAGCUGCCACCCGCCUCGCGCUCGGGCAACGGGGGCGAGCGGCGGGGAGCGCUGCGCCGUGAACGCGCUGGGCGCUGCAGGCGGCCUUUUCGGGGCCGCGCUGGGGACCGCACCCGGCGGAGGGAGCACGGGGCCCGCGGGAGAGCUCUGCUGAUUCCCCUCAGACCCUACGCAGACGCGGUGUCCUUAACGGGUUUGAUUAAAUUUGUUUAUCAAAUACGGAAGUAAAGCCAGAGCCCGCAGUUCUCAUUGCAUUUGGUCUGGGGACAGAGAAGGCUUUGCCGGUCACAGCGACACUGAAGGAACAACUGAGGAGUUCAUGUGGCUGAGGGGAAUUUCAUUAUGGGAAUCCAAUUAACCUGUGAGAGUCACACGAACUGAAAUCCGUUACCGUUCCCCAAAAGCCAGCUACUGUGCGUCCUGUAGCAACGUCUGCCGGUUUGGGGUAAAUAACGCUUUGUUAGAAAAGCAUUGGGAUCUUUACAGAAUUACUAGUGUAUAGCAGCACGUCAGUGCUUUGCAAGCAUUAAUUACGCUUCUGCUUCCUAUGGAACGCGUGGCACAGCUUUCUGCCGAUCCCACUAGUGCGGACCGGAGGCGGCGGCCACGCGGCUCAGCGGGGCCGGGUCCUGCGCGCGGAGCCCGGCCGGGAGCGGAGCGAUGCCGCGGGGCGGAUGGUGCUGAGCAGCGCUGCGGAUGGUGCUGAGCAGCGCUGCGGAUGGUGCUGAGCAGCGCUGCGGAUGGUGCUGAGCAGCGCUGCGGAUGGUGCUGAGCAGCGCUGCUGGCGGCCCCUCGGCGAAAGCCAGCCCUCAACAUCUCCGUCCGUGCGAGUAGUGCGCGCAGCCACGGCCAGAGCGUGAAUUAUUGGCGGCAGCGCGGCUUGCCGGGCAGAAGCGCCCGGCUGGGAGAGCGGCGCUCCGCGGAGCUGCCGUGCCCAUCCGUCCCACCUCCCCCCGCACGCGGUCCUUACGUGCUGUGUGCGCGGGGCUGACACGCGCAAGUCAAUAAUACGGGCGACAGCCGUCCAUGAACGUGGGUGGAAAUGAGGACGGGGUUACUGAUUAGCUCGCUGCCCCUGUAAAGCUCCUAGAUCUUAUCGGAGAAAUGUGAGUUACGUGUUUUACCAUUCUUCCUUUUUUAACCAUUAUCCGAUCAAAGAAGCAUGAAAAGCACUUUAUCGCUCACUUGAUUUUUUCUCCCGUGCUGGGAGCCCUCUGCAGGAAGUGGAGCAGAAUUUCACAAAUCUUCCCUUCCUGACGUCUCCCGAAUUUCUAGGAAUGCCCCUUCCCUGUUACUAUAUUUGGAGGUAGUUUCUACGAAAAAAAAAAGCGGUUUUCAGACGGCCGUGGCCCGUGCGGGAGUGCGGUGCGGGGCCGGCAGCGGCGCGGAGCAGCCUUUGUGGCAGCGGUGCGGGAGCGAGCGCGGAGCGGAGCGAAGCGGAGAGAGGUGCCUUUGUGGCAGUGAGCAGUACGGCUCUUCCACUCAUUUCCAGAAGUGUCCAUACUAUUUUUGCCAUCCUUUUCCCCACCAAGACAGGCUUUUAAGCACCACUGGCAUUUACCAUGUGCCAACUUUUAUGGCUCUAGAGAAAUAACAGUACACUGGAGAAAGGUGUGACACAUUUUGCCUGGAAAAUGUUGUUACACUGACAAAGAAAUAUGAAGAACUUAUUUUAAUAUCCUGUCUCACAAUGUGGGGUAAAAGCAAAAAGAAAAUCAGGACAGAUGGAUGAAAUACAUACUUCUGCGAAAUGAUCGGUAACCAGAGGUCUAAUAUUCUCAAUUAUUUGCAAGACUUCAGUGAUUCCCAGAUGCCUGAAGUAAGACAAGAAUGAGGACUAGGAAUUUCUUCAGGAUUUGAUGGUUGCUUGGCACUGUGGAAUGUAGAUACCUUUGCCCAUUUGUAUGUGAACCGCGUCCUUUGCCUUGGUUUCCCAAUGGGAGCUCACAAGUGAAUACAUAGGAAGUCUUUCAGGACUUCCUUCCUCCUGUCUUUGGAGCACACAUACAGGAGAUGCAGGUGCAGGAUAUAUAUCGUAAGGAAUAAUAAGGUGUUACUCUUCCAGCAACUGACCAUUUCUGAGAGAGUGUCAUACAUGUAUGGAUAUUUGGUGAAAAUAAACACACUCCUGUCUGCCUUGAAGGAGGUGUAGCAAAGGCUUUUUUUUCCAUUCUCAGUGUUCUCAAACACUGAAUAGCGUUCCGCUGUAAGACAGAAAUUGUCUAUGUGCAGAUGCUUGGCUUCCUUGAAAACCUAUGUAGUUUUCUUGAUGGCAUAAUUAUUCACCAUAUUAAUAUUAGUCUACUAGAGGUAGCUCUGUCUCACUUUUCUUUUUUUCAUAUAGUUGUAAUGACAAGAAAUAAGCAGCCCUGGCUGCCUACAAAGGUCGCAAUGUUUGCAAAAACAAGGGAAGAACAGCAGCACUGCGGGGCAUGGACUGCCGGACACUGCUUCUGCUUACUUAUGGCAACAGUCUUACAACUUCAGCUUUGUGUUGCAGAAAGCUAUGGCUGUCCUGACAGUAUCUCAUCCUUUUUUCACCAAGGGGGGCAAGAGGAGUGUGCAGGAUGCAUCUCUAAAGGACUGCUUCCACUUCUUACCAAGGCAUGGUGUGCUGCUGAAAUUGAAGGAAAAUCUUGAAAGAUUUAGACUGUAAUUUCUGAAACUGUUUAAGGUAUUGUCGUCUGGAAACUGACUUUCUUAAUGCAAUUUGUCUACUUUUUCUCCAAAUGUCACAAAAGAGAAUUAGAAUUUAAAUGCACCAAUAUGUUUUAUAGAAGAUUAAAAAUUACUGUUAUUUGAGCGGUUUCUAGCAGCAGUGAUGGAAAUUGCAUUAUAUACUGCAAUGAUUUAUACUUUUUCAUUGUAUAAUUUGUUUUAUUCCCACUGCAACUCAACAGGAUUGCAAAGGCAUGUAUGAAUAAACAUGAAUUGGAGAUGUUGCAACUGAGCGCGGGAGCAUAAUGAUGGUAAUUUUUCCCUACAGAUCAAGAAGCUUUAAAUGUACAGUUUCCUCAACAGAACAGUUGGAUGUUAUCAAAAUGGCUGCUGUGCCUGCAUGUGUCCCUUGCAGCAUCAUUCCCUCAUCAUUGAUUUGCACAGCACAUAAGCCAAUGCAAAGCACUGCCCAGAAAGGAGCUUGCUAUUACCUGCCUAGGCAUUUCCCACAAAAGCUGCUACUGAAAAUUCUCUCCAUACCUAUCAGAUGUUUCUGCACUGUGAAUGCUAAGGAAAUGCUGAGGAAUUGACUCCAUGGUUUUUAAACCAUCAGAUUUGCACAAUGUUUUCCUUGCUAGUAUUGAUCCUCUCUUCAAAGGAAAUGAAGGCAAAACAAGACUGGAGUUAUAUUGUACCAGUAAUGUUUUGCUUUUCUCAAAAAAGUAAUGAUAGCUAGAGCUUUUGCAUCUUAUUUUCUAUUUCCUUAUCAUCUAUGAAAUAUUAAUUAAAACCCUAAACUAAGAAUCAAGAGAGACGACAGGGGUGGCAAGGCACCCAAAUGUGGAUCUAAAUAUAACUGAGGUUGUUUAUAUCAGUGAGCUCCACCAAAGGAUAUGCGUUUAUGCGACUUUCUUGGUCGGGGAGUCAGUUUGCAAUGCUCCCAUGUAUUGUAUCCUUUAUUGUUCAGAUUUCAAAGGUCAUUUUUGCAAGAGUCUAAACAACUAAAUCAAAUGCUAAAUUAUUAUCUCAGUCGCAGAAAUGGAGAAACUAUAAUAUUGAAGCUGACUGACUCUGUCAAGUAAAUAUUUAUUAUUAGAAAUAGGAUCAGAUUUCAUGUCAUCACUCCAAAUCUCGCACCCAGUCUUCUUGCAUUGGUGACCUACGAUAAUGUAAAACAUGUUAAUGUGAUCAUUUUUAAGUGAUUAAUACCCAGGGAGGAGCGAUUUCCUGAAUUACCAGGUGAAUGACUAAACAUUUCCUAAGGAUCGCUCAAGACACUGAAGACAAAAUAUCUAUCGUUUCUUGUUACAGUUCAUAUUUUUGCUGCUUCUCAGACAUGCUGUGAUUCAUCUCCGAGGAACACUUCAUAUACUGUAGUUUAUUUUUCUAUCACGACACAAUUUGCAAAACAGCAAUUCCCCUUACGUUGUCUGAGCAUUGCUACCUCUUAAAUCAAAUGUAUACUGUCUGUUUCCAUCCCUGCUCUCUGUCUCAGUUAUUAUUUUUGCGAAGAUAAGAAAAUCCCAUUUUUACCACUGGAGAGCCAGGCUGCUUAGGUCACAAGAUUCUUUUGGCUUAAUCCUUGAGUAUGAAUCAUGAACUUUCCCUAAGAAGUACUGGCAUUCUUCAGAUGAUCAAGCCAGCUUACUAAAGCUUCCAGAGCUUUCUGCAUUAACGAUCACCGUGUUGAAAGUAUCAAAAGCAGUAACUGAUUAAGAAUUACAUUGUUUAUUCUUUUCCCAUUUCCGCUGUUUCUCGCUCUUACAUGGCUUGGUACUGUAAAUGGCUGAAAUGCAACUCAGUUUCAUGAAAAAUAUGAUGAAAAAGAUAAAUCAGACAAAAAAAUUGUGUGAAAUAUGAGAAACAGAGUUACUUUCUGCAAUACAUGGCUCAAAAAAUAAAGUGUAUAUGUCCACAUGGCUCCAGCUAAGGAAAAGCAUUUUUCUCACAUUUAAUAUCAGAAAUUUCAGAGGUAGCCAAACAUCUACUCUGCAGAUGAUUUACAACCCCUGCAGAAAAAAAAAACAUGUACUACUGAAACAUCAUAGUAAAUGUCAUGUAAUUCAAUAAGCAUUAUGUGAAGAAAUGAAUAAAAUGAAGACACCCCCAAAAAUUAUUUCUUGAGAUGUGAAGGUGGAAACAGAAUAUAAAUUCCAGAUCCAGAACACAGACAAUUGCUGAGAUAAGACUGGACUCUAGUAAGCAUGUCACUCUGGAAACAUGAAGGUCCCGGGCAGUUCAGGACAGCUGUUAUAUUCCUGCACCACAUUCAAGCACUAGACCUGAUAAAAGUAGACCAAACUCGAACCUAUUCACUUUGGCUACCAAUGAGAUUUUUGUAACUUUUACCAGGAAUAACACUUCUACAUAAAGAUGGAGUAAACUAUUCCAACAGCAUUUUAAGUGUUACACAGUAUGAAAAGCUGAAAGUACACUGAAUAUUUGUUAAAAAAGGAGGUUGGUCCUUUUUGGUGGUCAGUUAGACAAGGUGUACAUAUGGCCUAUUGUAUCUGCAUGAGCAACAGGACACAACCGAGUCAUAGUCCAAAUUGCUUUGAAACUUUUCUGAAGCCAACAAAUAUUUUUAUAAUAGCAGUGACUAAGCUUAAAAAUAAAAGCAGAAAGCCCUGAAAGGAAAUCAGGGAGUCAGAAUGACCAGUGGUUACUCUUGUAUUUAUUAUUCUGUAAAUUGUAGCGUAUGAAUGCAACCGAGAGGCAGAGAAGAAGCAAGAUGAAAAGAGCAGAACCAAGAGAGAUUUUUAAUGUUAUUUCCAGUGCUGAAAACUCUGGGAAGAAGAAUGCUGGAAGUGUCCAAAUUAAAUACAAGACGCUUUUCCGAGAGCUCAAAAAAUAAGUUCUCAACAAAGAACUAAAACCACUGAACAUUAUGUUUCUGAGAAAUAUAAAUAUUAUUUUAAAUGAAAUUUAGAUACUUUAUUGAGAAAUGUACAAGUUUAAAAAUACAAAAAAAAGUCUUAAAUGUUCAGUACAGCCCUUUUCUGAGGCGUGACUUUUAGUGCGGAAUUUAGGCGCAGCUUCUAUUUCUACUAACUCACACUGCAUGUAUUCCUAACCUUCUCCCUCUUUGUAUUGCCUAAUCAUUCUCAGAGAUCUUGCUUCCAGAUGACUGUUUACAUCCAUACUGUUUUCCUUAGCUGACAUGAUGUGCAAGGUAUUAACCUAAAAUAUAAUGAGUCUUAUAUGAACACCCCAGAUAUUGUUGAUCACUGUCCGUAUUUGCUGGUUAGAGUAACUCAGUAUUUCUAGUCACGUUGUGUUAUGGCCUGGUAGUCAUUAGUGUUUUAACACAGUACAGACAGGAUUUUAAAAAACAUAUUUAUGAUUAAAGUCACUCACAUGUCAGUAUGUUUAUUGAAUGGCAGUUGCUGAACUCUGAAGAUUUUUGGGCUACGAUUCCAUCUCUUUUAUCAAUUUCCUACAAAACCCUUCAAGCCAUGAGUGCAUGACAUAAAAAUAAGUAGUAUAUACUUGUAAUAGUAAUUGAUUAGGUCAAUGGGACCAAUCAUUUUCAAAUUUAACCAUUUUUCAGUCUGUCAAGUACAAGUAUUCUAAAACCAAGUUAUGUCUAAAAUACACCGUGUCCACUGUGAUUUAACAGUGCUUCAGACAUUUGAGUGUGAAUUUUGUUCAAGGAAAAUGUCCAUCAGAAAUUUUAGAUUUAAGGAAUAAUUUAGAAAUAAGGAAUGUAAGGUUAUAAUUAAGAAAUGGAUCCAAGAUUGUGAUGCAAGCUUGGGAAAAAAACUGGUGUGAUUUAUCCAUUUGAACAGCUGGUCAGCGACUGUGCUGGAGAGGGAAACCAAUGCAGUCUACCUGUCUGAGCUCAUCUGCUUCUCAGUUCAAGAAUCAGAGGACCAGAGGACUCAUGUUGCUUCUGACCUCUUGGUUAAGUGGAAGCGUAGCAGUCAUAGCAAAAGCUCCCUGCAAGUGCUCUUCCGACUACCUAACAUAACCAGAGUCUGUAGAUUGUUUCCUCAGCUAUAGAAAUGUGCAUGGGGUUUACUUCACCGGACUGGCAGAGAUUUUUCCUGUAUAUUAAUUUCUGCAACUGAGAGCUGAUGUUUGUUUGCAUAAAAACAUAUUUUUUCAAUUAUCAUAUGCACAACAACAAAUUUAAAAUAUUUGUAGCAAUAGCUAACUCCUGAGAACAUUUGCAUUCCAAGCAGCUAAGAGUGUCUAAACAAAGCCAGAAAGCAAUUUGAUACUUGUCUUAAACUCAUUACUACUUAUUAUUACGGUAAUUUGCCUGGAUUUUUUUUUUUCCAGUUUUAAAAAGAUGUUAGAGAUCAUGGCAGCACUUUCCCCAAAAGAAUGCAUUCUUCAUAGCCACCUAUCCUUCAGGAGGCCAUUCAUUUAAGUUUGUAGUGCCACGUGAGUGCCAUUUUGGACUUACCGAGGAAGGGUUACUUGAUCUAGACAUAGCUAAACUAAACUUCUGGGGAAAAGAUACAACAAAAACCAACAAACAAAGAAAAAUCCUUUCUUGCAUUAUUUCCAGAUUUGGUGAAGAACAUUAUAAAGACUAAUAAAUACAUUAUAUUGUCACGCAAAGUUUAAACUAAAUUUUUGGGCUGUUGCUGUGACAAGCAUUAAGAAAAGUUUCAAGUUUUCCAGAAGCCAUACUAGCCAGCUGCUAACUCUUGUUGUCCUUUUCCUCAGUGACUCUGACUAUUUUUUGCCUUGUUCUUAAGGAAGUGUAUGGAUGUGGAAAAUGCCUGUUUAACGAUUCAGAUUAAAAAAAGUAACCAAACACUAACAUUUUGUGUUCACAAGGCACAGCAGAGUGUCUUAACCUAAUAACCAUUGCCCUGAAUUCUGAUUUGUGGACUUCAAAAUACGAAUUUAAGUAUUUCACUUCAGCAGAAGGGCAAAAUUAAAUCCUAAGGCAAAAUACUUAUGCAUUGAAUAUAUUACAUAAGUUCAGCAGUGGUGAUGAUGGACAUUUAACACUUAUCUCUUUAAAUUAUUUCCUUUCCUUCUCUGCUGUCAAGGAUGUUCAUUUAGCUACCUUUUUUGUUAUUGGAUAAUGUAUACCCAUAACUAGAAUUCUUACCAAAUCCGCCUCCUUACAAAUUUAAAAAGCAACUAAUUAUUUCUUCAGGACAAAGAACGCAGCGUGUUAUUUUUAUGUAUCAUUAGGAAAAAAAAAUGAUAACGGAAAUGAACCAGGGGAACAGAAAAACAAAAUAAGAAGUGAAAUCCAAGUUUCUAAAGCAGAGAUGUAAUGCCAAUAAACUGUUCCAGAGAAACUGAUUAGCUGCCAGCUUUUCUACCUGUUGCCAAGAAAGCAUUGCUGUGUUCACUGAUCCUGUCAUUAAACCGAGUAUGUUCUGAAACAACUCUUUCUGAAUGGUGCCAUCUUCUGUGAAGGGGGAGGGAGCUUUGCUCCUAUAGAGCACCGCUAGAAAGAUGGUUCUGCUCCAAAAAGCAGGUACAGGGGAAAGCUUGGUUAACUCAUGUACACACACUCUUUAAAGAGAAAUAAAUUAACAGUUGAAGAGAAAAACCGUGUUGCCUACAGAUUGUUGGCAGGAAGCACAGGACUAUAAUUUGCAUCUCUGAAAAUACUAAUUUGCAGGGCAAAAAGUCUUAAUGGCUGUUUUUUAAUACCCUAUAAUAUCAGGUUUUUACUCUUGCUGAGUCUGGUUGUUUUCUUUAGAAAAAAAAAAAAGACUAGUGUUUUGUAAUAUUUUCUUGCUAGGUUUUUAAAUAUUUGUCAUUACAAUUAUCCAUGCUACUCGAGAUAUUUGCAUGAGUAUGUCAAUAAAAGAGCAGAUCACACCAGCGAACUUCUCCCACAUCGUACCUUGUUCAGCCCUCAGACACUAAAAUUCAGUAUGGGCAGUCUAUUCUGUUUACCUCCACAACAGUGCUCUGAUAUCUUCUAGUAAGGCUUUAUUUUAUUUUCAUUUCUGCCAAAAUUUUACAUUUCGUGAGUGUAGCAGAAAUGCUAAGUCACGGCCUGAAGCAGUGAUGGAGCAGCUGGGGGGAAGGCAGGGCCAGCCAGGGGAGCUCAGGUGCAAGCAAUGCAAUGCAGCUGUGUGACCGGAAGGGUGCAGCCAGGAUCCACCCCUUCCCAGCCCUCCCUUAAGGGCUGGCAGUGGAGGCAGGGGGAUCUCUCUGGAGAUGCUUUUGUUCCUGAGGCCUUCCGAAGGCAAGCAGUUCUUCUUCCUUUGUUUCUGUAUCUACAGCUGCUGCAUUUGGGCUUGUUGUCAUUUGCUGCAGCCUAGGAUUGUGCUACUCCACUAUUAUUGCUGUACAUUCCAAUGCAUUAUAGCAUUACAAGCAUGUAAUUUUUUCAAAAAAUGUUCUUCACAGCAGCUUUUAUUCUCAGGUGUGUUGGAACCAAGACGCAGGGUUUUUUAAAAGAUGACUGGUGUUGUGGUACAUAGAAAGUUAAUUCAGAAUUUUUGCAGUUCAGGAGAUUUGCAGAGUCCCAUUGACAGAUCAAGGUCCUUAAACCAAUGUAAUCACGAGAAACUAGCAUGUUUCGUAACUCUCUUAAUAGCAGGUGGAAAGGCUCAGUAUCUGCACAUUCUUUACAGCCAUUAACUGCUGCUUACAUCACAGAAGACCAACCUUUUCCACACUGUACUCCUUCCCUACUAGCCACAUCUACAGUGUGCGUCCAUAAUUAUUUAUGCUAAUUCCUAAGAACAAAACUGGGGGGAAAAAAAAACUACAGUUCGCUGCUGAGCAUGUGAAAUUGAAGUGCUGUCCAUUUGUUAAAUUUUAACAUCCAGAGCAGUGAACUGCUGUGACCGCAAAGCUAGCGUUCCAUGUGUUCUGUAGCCUUGUUAUGGGACGGGAGCUACCAGCAGAGUAGUAGGGCAGAUACAUGGCAAGAUGGUUAGAGUUUACUACAAGUAAUUCACCUACUUGGGCUCUACAUCUGUGGUCAAACACUUCAGAAACAGCUGUAAUUAUUUUAAGAUGUUAUUUUUUUCUACUUGUUUCUUACUGUCUCCAAGUCCAGGCAAGUGAGAUGGACUGACAUCCUGAGCCAGCAGGGUUAGGUUGAAUCACCUGCACAAACAGUCACAGAAGCUGAAUUUACUGUACCAAAAGGUCUACAUUGAAAGGCACCUAAAGUAUAGUCACAUUAAGGGGACAGAGCAUACCCGAAAGCUCUGUGGAGCUGCUAUGCAUCCAACCCGGGCAGAGAGUGAUUAAAAGAGUAAUUAAGCAAUGGAAUUCCCAAAGAUUUUGCUAGUAACAACUAGCAAGCAGAGAUCCUACUAGGAAUUAUGUCUGAAGGGGCUAAAACUUGGUUAAAUAGGUAGAUUUUUUCAUAGGAAUAACAAUAAGCACAUGCUCAACAGGAAGGCCAAUUUCCUGCCAACACCAAAUCUCCAUUCCAGGCCUUUAGGUUAUUCUCAGUAUUUCAAAGAAAAAAAAAUCCCAAACAUUUCUUUUUUAAGAAAGAGAAUAUAGAACACUGGUCCCUGUCUUUAUGAAAAAUAAUAAUAGAAAAAAAUUUACUAUAUUCACACAAAGAAUACAAAAGGUUUCUGCUUUUAAGUUCUCUCCUUUUAACAGUUAAUGUAUUAGUAAUGUAAAUCAUUUGACAAACAGAAUAGGGUAAAGUUUAUUUUCUGGGUUUCAUGGUUUCUUUUUAAACAAACGUAUCUUAAAAACUUAAGUAUCUAGCAGAAAUGGCAUUGGCCUUCAUCGUGGCCUGUGAUUAUUCGGUUUUCAUGGCCUAAGUGGCUUUACUUUUGUUGCGUUAUUUUGUUUAAAGGAUUGCUGCACUACUCAGAAUAAGCCAAACUGUCCCAGGCCACCACGCCUGGAUGCUGGGUGCAGCAACAUAAUUUCUAGGAAUGUUUAUUUAUAAUAUUUAGAUGUUUGGACCAACUGCUGACAUGUUAAUCCUGCAAUUAAAGCUUAACACUUAUUUCAUUCUCAGUAAUGCUCUUCAUAUGCGAGAAAUAUAUUACAUGUUAUAGGAUUGCAGGCAGAUAUACUCAAAUAAACACUGACAUAAUAUUAGAAGACUUUAAAUCAGCUCUCAGUGAUUUUCAUUUCCAAAUGCUCUUUUGUACAUCUGUUGGCAUUCUUCACUUUCUGAAACCUGGUCAAUCAUUUGAUGCCUGAGAAGUUUGUAACUGUAUGAGUUUUGGCUGAUGAGUGUGUAUGUCCGUCAGUCUGGAAAAAUCUAAGUACAGCAAUUCUAUUUGAAAAUUGUCAACACAACAGUGAAAGGGCAGUUUGAUGGAGCUAAAUUAGUACAACCACUUGGUGAUAAAGAAUUGCAAAUGCCUCUGACCACACAAUCCCUUCCCUCAAACCAGCAUCUUCUGACACACGUGUGUCUGAUCCUUGUCAGUAAGGUCAGCCAGUAAAACAGGCUGAAACUUAUCCCUCUCCAGUUCGGCUCCACUUGUGAACCUGAUGAGGUUUCAUUCUGUUUCACUGUUCAGAUUGCAGUAGAUCUUAAAAAGCAGCUGCCCAAAUACUGAUUACUGACAAAUGCUUUCUCUAAUGAACCACUAGUUUGAAGCAUCAAUUUCUACAUUUUGAGCCUAGGAGACCAGAGAGCCUUGUCUUGUUGUGCCAGUCUGUCCCUUUCUUCCCUGUAGAACUACAAAGAUAGUGGGGGAGAAAACAUGAAAAGCCUCCCUAAAGGGAAGGCAAUUAACAUUGCUUCUCUCUUCUCUUCCACAGAGCCAGUCGUGCCAUCACAGGUACCAAUGAGGUCGGUCAGGCACCAUUUCCCUGCGCGUUUUGGCUUCCAAGACCUAUAUAGUCUCAAAAAAAUAACCUAUGAAUAUACUGAUCAUUUUAAAUGUUAUAAAGCCCAAUAAAUAACAUAUGGAUUCAUUUACAACCUAUAUUAUAGGUCUGUUAUGUACAUGUAUGAUCAUACACUCACAACUUUCUUGUCACUUUGUCUUAUAAGCAAAUAUAGAACUGUUUUAAACAAAUCAGGAGAACUAUGGAGUGGACUUAAGGUGCAUCAGUUUUUCUUAUGUCUGCAUACGGAAGGUGAGAUUCUUCUGCUCAGAGAAAUAUGGGCUGCAUCUUUUUAAGAGUUACACACAGCAGCUGUUGGCUUUGUAACUAGACCUUUUGCUUAGAAGUUAUGCGCAUAUGUACAUAGUUUUCAUAUAUUGAGCACCCAGGUGAAUCCUUUUGUGCAAAAUGUAGGCAUCACCAAUACAGCUUGUAGCUAAAAUAUUCAAAGCUGUUAAGAAACUACAUUUGAAAUGGAAAAAAAAGACACAAAAUAGACUAUAUACAUUAUCUACCCAUUCAACUGUCUGUCAGCCACUAUGGAAAAAAUCCUGAUUUUAUUCAGUAUUAUUCAAAACAAUAUUAACUUAAUAAACAGCCUUUGAUGGAUCAGAGUUUUUCACUGUCAGCUCUUGCUUAAAUUAAGAAUACUUAUUUAUAUAUUUUGAAGAUGUACAACUAAAGCUGUAACAUUUCAAAUGAAAAUAUUUCCUAUUUUCAGUGGACAUAUCUGCUGGAAAUGUUUGCCUUUGACAGGAGCUCACGACAGCCAAAUGAAUUCAGGAUUAAUUUACAAUUGUUUCAAACAUCCAUAAUGCAGAAUGAUGCCAAAAUCAGAUGAGAACAGAAAAGUUCCUUAGAAAAUAUAGCUUGCUCAACAAUUUCCUUUAACUUGUUUUUUUUUGGCAUUGGAAAUAUUCCUGUGACCCAAUUUCCACCUUUUAUUGGCUUCUACCAUCCACGAUUUCUACGCUGCAUGAUUUCUAAAACCCAGACACUUGCAAGACACAUCUUAAGUCCUGUCCUGGAGGUAUCUGGCUCAGCAACAAUAUUCUUAGUUGGUAGAAUAUAUUUAAACUGAAAAAAAUAUGUAACAUUACUUUUUUAUUUACAGGUCCUAAAGUAUAUUAUUAUUGGAUCCUAAUAAGACUUAUAAUAACAUAUACAGGUUUUCUAAUUCCAGUAAUGCUUAAGUUCCCAACAAACUACAAAAGAAAACAUUGUACAGGAAUAAAACAGAACAAAGUCCUAAUUGAAACUUCACAAGAAAUUAAACUUGAACGUCAUCUUAAAGGUGAAAUUAAUGUAAAUUUUCAUUCAAGAAAAAAUUUAAAAAUGGAGACUGUACAUGGACACUGAAAUUAAAAGAAAACAUUGAAUUGUUGUUUCUUCUUUGGUAUGCUGUCUUCCACACAAACUCAAAAGCAAGAAAAAAGAUGGCAAACUACAUCAAUGGAAGGACGUAUUCCCAAUCAGACUACAAGGCAAAAGAAGUUGAAUCUGUUCUUGCAUUAUCUCAAUUUUUAAUGUAAUGAGAGGACUGGAAUUUAGAGUAUGGGUCUAUCUGUUAUGAAGACGAAAUCCACUUACAGGAACUGAAAGGAAUUAGUACGUCUAACAGAACCAACCUCAUGAAACCAGACAUUGUCUUCCCUUUGUGUUUACAUAACUUUGAAGAAUAAGAUUUUGAAGGGAACUGUAGAAGAUACUGAAUGCCACUGGAAAGCAUUUCUGCACAUUUCUUAAAUGAGUAAAUAGAUUAAAUUCACAGAAGUGAUGAUUAUUUUCAUAUGCAAAGAGCCUUAGUGUCAGAGUAAUAAUCUAAAACACUAUUACCUCCUCAUUACAGAUGGAGAAGCUGGAGACAUGGGUUAAAGUGAGUUGCACAGUGUCACAAUUUAAAUUGGUAGCUAACCUGACAGCAGCAAGAGUCAGUUUAUUCAAUGCUGUCUCCUACCAGGAAAAAUAAAGGAAUUAUCUGCCUUAUAAAUAACAGAGUAGCUCAGAAGUGUUUUCCAUUUUGCCACCGUUGUGGAUAAAUGCUGGCAGUGUAAAUGUGUGGAAUUUGGCAUAGAGCCUCUUUCCCUACAAUGUAUCAUUCAUCUUCCCUCUUAGCAUUUCAGUGCCUGUUCCUUUUAGGUGGCUAUUAAAGGGAAGAAAAACAGAGCAAAAUAAAAUAAUACAUUUAUGUUACACUAAUGAAACAUACAAAUCAAGAAAUUGUCUUCUAACUUUGCAGCAGCAGAAGUUGUCUACAGCAUCCAUCAGGUUAAGGACUACAGCUAGCCCACCCCAGGAGUAUAUCAAAAUCUUUAAAUUCUUGUUUUUAUUUGUCAGGAGAAUAUGAAGUUCUCUGUGAUAUGAUUUUAUGGAAAACUGAAAAAAGAAUCAUAAAUGGAAGUGCCCAUAAAAUUACUGGAGCAGUGCUCUAUGUCAAGCUAUGAAAUAUAGGAAUUACUGUAAGGUUUCUCUCAUGACGCCAUAAAUCUCCUCAGGUUCACUAGAAUCUGCAGCUAACUACUUUAUUAAAUUCACAUUCGCUAAACACAUUAAAUCCACAUGGGUUUGAGUAGCUGAGCUUCACUCUAUGCAAUGACCAACCCUUCAUAAAUCAAUGUUCUGAGAUAUUAUUUAUACACCCUUCUAGUAUGUAAGUGAAAGUCAGAAGAAUUUUAUCUGUCAGGAAGAAAGCAUGUCUGGACUCUCUGAAUUUCACAAAAGUUAAGUCUAAACUAAUGAAAAUAUUAGUUUGCCUUACAUGAGCUUUGCUACAGCAAUAUAAAAAUGAAAAACAUUACAGAAAGGAGUUUUUAAUCCAACAUAGCUAAGUGGAAGUACCACAGGGAAAAAAAUCAUCUUUCUCUUAGAUUGGACUGGUUUUCCUGAAUAGAAAACAUCCUCAUAACAUUCCAUCACUGCUGGGAGAAAGUCAAUAAAUCAUCAGUCAUGUUUGGCCACACGAUCUCUACCGAUCCCACCAUUCAGAUCUUCAUAAAUAUUAUCUACGAACUACAUGAAUUUUCAGAAGAUACUUCUUUUAUUAAAGUCUCCCAUCCAUGGCUACAUGCAUAUCUUUCCUGUAGUCAAAGAAGACUUCUGAGAAUGGGAUUGUGUUGGAAGAAUUAAAAACAAUGUGAAGGAGAAAAGACUGGAAUACAGCAGCACCAUGUCAGCUUGUCACUGUAACUAACUUGCACUGCAAGGUUUGAAAACUAUGUCUGAUGGUUUUUUGAGUGUGGAUAGAACUCAGUAAGGCUCUUCUAAAUUAUGGGAUAAGCACUUAUGUCUGUUAUGUUCACAACGUACAGAGCAAGAGCAGCAAUGGAAAAAAUGCAAAAGCUAAUGAGAGCACAGCGAUUUUUUCUCAUCUGCUAACACUUCUGUAUUUACUUCUCACCACAGUAAACAUUUUCACCUUUCUGUUUUUCUAGGGUAGACAAUAUGAAGCUUCUAAUGCAGUUCACUUCUCCAUAGACAAAACUCGAAGGCUAUUAUGUCAUACCACAAGUCUAAAUAUCUAAAAUGCAAAUCUAGUUUAGCAUUAUUUAAAAAAACAGUUUUCUGAGCUUGUGGUGGCUGUGGUAGCACUUGCUACCAGAGGAGGAGGAUCAGCCACCUGCUGGCUCUGCCCACAGGUUUCUGCUGCUACUCCCAUCAGAGCAAAACCAUCAUUGAUUCUGUUUGCUUUCCCACAACACUGACAUGCCAAGGUUUAGCCUUAUUCCUCUGGUCACUAUCAGACAUCCACUCAAGAGCAGUCAUCAAAUACAUUUAGAAAUAGACAAAACAGUUUUGUGGGUGUUUUUAGAAUGAGCCUUGCCAUUACAACCAGGCCUAACGAAAACCAGCCAACCAAACAGAAUGGCACUGUGUUAAGAAAAGACUGCUCAAGCUGAACGAGACAUCCAGGCAUUGAAGAGAUGCCUCUGUCCAAAAUCUGGUAACACCUUGAGCAAUUAUUUGAAUAGAAAAAGCAAGCACAACACAGAGAAACUUAAGAGCGCAUAUAGAAAACUCCAACUGUCUCAAAGAAACGUGCAGGCUGCAAACUUAGUGGGACUGCUUGGUAAGAAAAUACUGCUCAUUUUCACAAGCUACAAUGAAAAGAUUAAGUGGGGUGCUCAGGUUCUCACUGAGAAUGUGAGUAGCUCUAAGUCUGACCAAAAGGACAAGACACCAAAACAGCAGCCAUGAUCCUGCUCCGCUGUAGCUUAUCGCUCCUCGAGGUCCAGCAGGAGCUCUGCAGCCACAGGCAGCAUUAAUACAGUAUCAACAAAACAUGGAAACACCUUUAUCCUUUAUUUUCUGAAUCUAGUUUCAUUUUUAACGUGUGACAUUUCCUGAGCAUGACGGAAUGCUCCCUAUAUGAAGUCUAGCACAAUUAUUUUUAGUUUUAUUUUGGAAAUAUUAAAUAUACACAGGUAUAUUGUAACAGCUAACCAAUUUUUCAUUGCUACCGAUAUCUUUGUGUAUUCUUUAAAUUUUGUUAAAUAAAACAAUUGCUAAAAAGAAAAGAAGAGGCUUUUCAGCCUUCAAGUCAAGAACUCUACAUAAACUUGAGAAAACUAAGAAUUCUGUCAAUAUGUUGUCCUUCGGGCUGUUAUACCAUGUACACAAAAAUAAAUCUGCCACAUUCUCUUAAAAACAGAUCUGUUUGUGCACUCAUCUAAAAGUAUCAGACUGGAGCAUAAAAUGGGAGGCAUUACUUUCAGAGCAGCCCUGGUAGUGUGCUACAAUCCAGCAGGAAGAGUUACUAGUCUAUACCUGAGGGACUCUGGGAACACUGAGGUGAAGUUCUUUGAUAAAUCAUCUCACUGCAACACUGCAUCAGUUGAGAACGAUGCUCCCCAUAAGAGCAGGCAAUUGAAUCACUGUUUCUGUUCUCAGCAGUCCUAUUCUACUGCAGAAAAAACUUUCUAUUGGCAGCUUCCCAAAGGUAGACUAAAGAAAACCGUAACUAAAAUUAUCCAGUACAUAAGAAAAUUAGAAGGGGAGGUUGAAAUGUAAAUUUCUCCCAAACAAAAUGGAGGGCCAAUUUUACAGUACUGCAUAAUUAUUUGCAAAAUGAAAAAUAACACGUAUAAGAAACGUGGCAAAUAACUACCCCAACACAAUUUGAAAUUGUGUAUUUGCUGACAUGCAUAGUGGAUGUGCUUGGAGCAGACUUAUGUUUGAAGAAUAAGCAGCAGCCCUUAAAGACAUCUAACUUCUAGUUAUAAAGUAAUUAGAAAAUGCUUUUUUUUUUUUUGCAUGAACAUGUCCAGUCUUCCUUGAACAUUCUAAACAUAAAAUCACAUUUGAAAAAGAUACUCAAGCUGUAAGUUUAAAAUUUAUGUAUGCACAUACAUAUGAACUCGUUACUGAGGAAAAAAAGUCUUUUUAUAAAGAUUUCAGAAUGAAACAAAAGAGCAAUUCUCACUUCAGUAACAGUGAAGUGUGUCUUUAAGGCUUGUAAAAGGAACAGCCAGCCUCAAAGACUGAAUUUGAAGUAAUCAACUUGAAAACAGUUGUCUUUGUCAAUCAUUUGAUGGGUUGUAAGCAGAUCAUAUAUUAGGAUGAAACAUGCUUGGCACAGUCACAACCUCCAAAUUUUCACAUUCAAUUACAUUCUAAUAGCAAUCAGAUCACACAGAGUGAUUCUAGUCAUAAACUGGGAAACUCCUUCAAGAACAGAGUCAUUUUUAAGAAAUGAAUAUAACAAUAGGGAAAUAUAUCUUUUCAGUUUCAUUAAAUGUUUUCUGCAUUGUAUUUACGAAUAAAUCAUUCCAUAUGAGUUUGUUUUGAGCUGUGACCCACCCAUGAUCUGCUAUAAUGUUCAUGGCUAUUUAUUUAUUUUUAAAAGGAAUUUCAUGUACAUCUAUUAAAGUAAAAAUAACAUCUUAAUUACCCUAAAAAUCCCAACCUAGCCCACCAGCUCCUCAACCAACUAUGGUGAGGCACUAUUUCUGUAAAACACACAGGUAAAGUUACGUCAGUUUAAGUUCAAAGCCAUCACAGCUCCAAAUAGACAAGCAAUUGCAUAAUUGUUUACUAGCGUACUGUGGAGUAUUUUAAGGAAUCUUCACUGUGCACACCUGCUCAGGUGGCAAUAGUCUACAGGCUUCAGAAGCCAAGAACUCUUGAUUACCAAGAGUUCUGCUCAUGUAUGCUCUGUAGCUGAAAUGCAGGACAUUUUUAUCUGUGUCACAUUUAUCACGAUUUAAAGACAGUACAUCUGGGAGAUCAGACAUCUUCUAGGCACCAUGACAGAAGUCAAAGGUUUAAAGAAAGAAAGGGGUUAUUUUUUUUCCAGAAUCACUGCAAGUUUUAGCUUUCUACCUCUCAUUUCUCUACUGGAUAAAUAAUUUAGUCUUCCAUCUAAAUCAUCUGAAGCUUUUAGUUUUUAUUCCAAAACAAGCUGAGAGCUAAUGUACGCAUAGGUUUCUGCGCUCCCAGAAACGUUAACGUUACGCGGGACACUUGUUCUCCCUCAGGCCUCAUCCACUCACCUGCGCCUCUUCUCAUCCACACUGGAGGGUUGCUUAUGCUGUUGUCUUCUAUUCCGUGCUACACUGUUCCCCUUUGCUCAGUGCUUCUCUCAUCCACCAGAACCGGCCAUGACCUUUGCUGUCAGACCUGUGCUUUCUGGCCCAAGCUAAUACCUCUCACCCCAGAUGCUUGAGAGAGAUUUGCCCACGAUCAAUUUAAGUACAAUUUUAACAUUCUUUCCAAUUUAAACAAUGAAGUGCUCAAACGUUGUUGAUAAAUGGUCAUUGUCAAGCUUAAGUUUCAGUCAAAUAAACACAUUCCGUCCCCUCCACAGCAGCAGGAUUUCAGCCCUCCUGCCUCAUUUCGCUGUGGAGAGCUUUUCCUUACUUCUCACAUUCAGGUCUACACUCCAAGUUCUCAUCUGUUAAUCACAAAUUUCCUCAUUUUCCCAAUUAAAUUUCUCUGCUUUCACCAACACUAGCUGUAGGUAACACCUGAGUGCCCGCACCCUUACGCUUGCACUGUGCCCCGUUCCCGCCGCCAGCAGUGGGGAACCGCCGCUCCUCACCUCACCGCGAGCACGGAGCGCCACAGCUCCACUGCAGCGCCCACCAUUUGCUGAAGGAAAUCUUUCACUUCAGUGCAACCACCAGCAAGAUAACGUCGGCUAUUUUAUGCAGUUGGCUAUUUUAUGCAACUGAAGAGCAGAAAAACAAGCCUAGUUACGGCUGCUGUGCACUCACCUCGCCCUGGCUCCACACAGCUGGCUGAGCAGUGCUGCAUCUGCACCCACUGCGGGGCUGAGGGCGCCCCCGCCCUGAGGGAAGAUGGAGGCCGGGCGCCCUCAGGGGGGGAUGGAGGCCGGGCCCCUGAGGCCAUCAACACCAAGGCAUCUGUGGAGGUCUCCUCCGGCCCAAAACUGUUUUGGCCCCAAUUAGGGCAAUUGCGCAGCACACGGAACCAGGUAUAGCCACUGCUGCUUCUCCAAACAGAAAACAAAGGAAGAGCAUCAAAAUUAAAUAAUAUCCAUGGGGUUUACUCCCCACUUCCCCGAGGAAAAAAUGGAAAGAAGAGGGGAAAAAAAAAAAAAGUAAUUCUAUCCAAGUAUGAUAGAUGAUACAUCUGUCUUUACCAGGCCCCAACAGCCUCUCCUCACCUCAGCAGCUGCCCCAGUGCCCCGUGCAGCUGCCUCAAGGUGCCCGUCUCCUCCCGUCACGGACAGUGCACAGCCCAGAGCGCAGCUUGAGAGGCACUGCGGCCAGGGAGAUUAGUGAUGACAACUUUGUUUUCCAGGAAUAAAAGCUGUAAAGGUGCGAAUUCUAGGCAUGUAUUUUAAAUUUACAUCAGGAAACAAAUGUGGGUCAAAUUUAGGAAGCCACAUUCCUCCUCUGCUAGAAGCAGUGCUUUGAUUUAUAGUGAGGUGCACAAAAGGCACAGCAUAACAAUUUCUGACGCAAUAUCAGGGGGGUCAUUUCAUCUUUACAACAGCAUCUAUCCCUGACAGUUCUCCACCCAAAAUUCGUACUAGUGAUAUCACAGUCCCAAUCCUAUCUCAUUUUAUUAGUGUAAGUAGGUAUUACCUGGUAAAAUCAAACGCUAUGCAAGGACUAGAAAACAAAACAGCAUUAUUUUCUUAAGAGGUGUUAAGUACAGCCUAGAGAUAAAUAACAUCCUGCUCUCCGAAAUUCAGAGUGGGCAGAAGAGUGGAAAUAGUGGGUACACUAGCUUAGAGAAGUAUACACCCAGCCUACUCUUCAUAUGAAAAUAAUAAUCUGGAGAGGAUUUAGGGCUCUAUAUUGUAAUGAAAUUAAGAUAGGCUCCCAUGCUGCUAUGUACACUCUGGAUCAGAAGAGCUCUGUUGAUAAUUUCCCCUAGCAUCACUAAUAACACUAUCUUCUUUCCCACAUUUUAGUGUAAUUAUAUGAUGAUAUGGCUGCUAUUAAACAAACCAACAAUAACAACAACAAACCUUAGUUGUACUACUUCCAGCAGUAUUCCAAGAUUAGAAAUAAAACAUUUCACAUUUGAGGGAUUUAAAUCCUUUUCUCUUUUGCAAAACAAGUUCAAGAUUCAAGAUAGUUCUUGCAGUCAUUUGAAAGCCCACAAAUUUUGGCAUACCUUCAAGCAGGUUACUGCAUUGCUGAAAUGACAAUGGUUCACACUGUGAUGUAAGUACAAUCCGAUGCAACCUUCUUAAUAUUCUACUUUUCCAUAGAAAUGGUUUUCAACUUGCUGAUUUGCAGAACCCUCAUACUUUCUUCCAAGGGAAAUGCGUAGCAAACCUUUUACAAUAGACUUGGUUUUUCUUGGUUAUAUUUCACAAAUCUCUUGAGAAUAGUCAGUCCAGAGACCCAAAGGGUCUGCAAGUCACAGACUGAAAACUUUAUAAAGAUU
This is a long non-coding RNA of Numida meleagris (helmeted guineafowl), 21514 nucleotides long. RefSeq lists it as uncharacterized. NCBI's taxonomy places the organism in Eukaryota, Metazoa, Chordata, Aves, Galliformes, Numididae. The transcript has 4 exons. The record is from RefSeq and is a predicted model, not a curated record.